RNAcentral lists this ribosomal RNA (459 nucleotides) under uncultured bacterium. Its description in RNAcentral is "partial 16S ribosomal RNA". It matches the Rfam family "Bacterial small subunit ribosomal RNA", at positions 338 to 795 of the family's 1533-position model. The record is from RNAcentral.
CCUACGGGAGGCAGCAGUGAGGAAUAUUGGUCAAUGGGCGCGAGCCUGAACCAGCCAAGUAGCGUGAAGGAUGACUGCCCUAUGGGUUGUAAACCUCUUUUGUCGGAGAACAAAACCCGGGACGUGUCCCGGACUGGGUGUUUCCGAAGAAAAAGCAUCGGCUAACUCCGUGCCAGCAGCCGCGGUAAUACGGAGGAUGCGAGCGGUAUCCGGAUUUAUUGGGUUUAAAGGGUGCGUAGGCGGUCCGUUAAGUCAGCGGUAAAAUUGCGGGGCUCAACCCCGUCGAGCCGUUGAAACUGGCAGACUUGAGUUGGCGAGAAGUACGCGGAAUGCGCGGUGUAGCGGUGAAAUGCAUAGAUAUCGCGCAGAACUCCGAUUGCGAAGGCAGCGUACCGGCGCCAGACUGACGCUGAGGCACGAAAGCGUGGGGAUCGAACAGGAUUAGAUACCCGAGUAGUC